AUGGUGGCCCGGGUGUGGUCGCUGGUGAGGUUCCUCAUCAAGGGCAGUGUGGCUGGGGGCGCCGUCUACCUGGUGUAUGAUCAGGAGCUGCUGGGGCCCAGCGACAAGAACGAGGCAGCCCUGCGGAAGGCCGGGGAGGUGGUCCCCCCCGGCCAUGUACCAGUUCAGCCAGUAUGUGUGUGACCAGACAGACCUGCAAAUACCCAAGCUCCCAGCCCCUCCAAAGAUUUACUUUCCGAUCCGUGACUCCUGGAAUUCAGGUAUCAUCACAGUGAUUUCGGCUCUGAUCAGUGGGCCCUCCAAGGCCUGCGAGUACUCCAAGGAGGGCUGGGAAUAUGUGAAGGGGUGUACCAAGUAGUGAGUCAGCGGAGGCUGCCUGCCCCGGGUCAGAACAGGCAGGGACGCCACUGACCUGAAGAUUCCAGACUGGGACCCC
This is an RNA transcript of Propithecus coquereli (Coquerel's sifaka), 436 nucleotides long. It is a transcript of the gene named protein QIL1 pseudogene, with no coding region annotated. The record is from RefSeq and is a predicted model, not a curated record. The transcript has a single exon. Lineage: Eukaryota; Metazoa; Chordata; Mammalia; Primates; Indriidae.